AAAAAAAAAUCUUUGCCGGGAGGGUCCUCAGCAAACAUUCGGCAAAGAAAAUUUGAAAAAAAAUUAGAAAAUCUUUGCCGGGUGUCUCUGACACAGCUUCCGGCAAAGCA
Molecule: microRNA precursor, 110 nt
Filed under: Sorghum bicolor (sorghum)
Lineage: Eukaryota; Viridiplantae; Streptophyta; Magnoliopsida; Poales; Poaceae
Description: miR5388 stem-loop (sbi-MIR5388)
Source: miRBase by way of RNAcentral